CAGGCUGGGUUCCAGCAUAGGGCUCUUGGUGGGCACGCUGGGGUCGGGUGGAGUGCAGGAGAGAGAGGAGGUGGGACAGGUGGGUACCUGGGCUGGAGGCAGGGCCUGAGGUGGGCAGGUGCAGAGGGCUGCACUUCUCGGCUGAAGCCAGGAAUGAGGACCCCGCUCUCGGGUGGGAUUGGAGGGGACCCGCGGCUGAGGCGCAGGGCUGCGACAGGGACAUCACCGUUCUCCUCCUCAGGGAGAUGGUGCUCGUCGUGCACGGCUUCCCGUCCUCCGUGGCCGCCCUUCGGGUAAGGAAGGAGACCGGGCAGCGGCGGCCGGGCGAGGGCUUGGGUUCCGCCCCUCGCUCCGAGCCGCCCUGAUGCCCCUGUACGCCGCCCGCAGUUUGAGUGGGCUUGGCAGCACCCGCACGCCUCGCGCCGCCUGGCGCACGUGGGGCCUCGCCUGCGAGGAGAGACAGCCUUCGCUUUCCACCUGCGCGUGCUGGCGCACAUGCUGCGCGCACCGCCCUGGGCUCGCCUCCCGCUCACGCUGCGCUGGGUGCGCCCAGACCUCCGCCAGGACCUCUGCCUCCCGCCGCCGCCGCACGUGCCUCUGGCCUUCGGGCCUCCACCGCCCCAGGCCCCGGCCCCAAGGCGCCGCGCAGGUCCCUUUGAUGACGCGGAGACUGAGCCAGACCAGGGGGAUCCAGGGGCCUGCUGCUCCCUGUGCGCCCAGACCAUCCAGGAUGAAGAGGGGCCCUUGUGUUGCCCCCACCCUGGCUGCCUGCUAAGGGCCCAUGUGAUCUGCCUGGCAGAGGAGUUUCUUCAGGAAGAACCAGGGCAGCUUCUGCCCCUAGAGGGCCAAUGCCCUUGCUGUGAGAAGUCACUGCUUUGGGGAGACCUGAUCUGGCUGUGCCAGAUGGACACUGAGAAAGAAGUAGAAGACUCAGAAUUAGAAGAGGAACAUGGAGCUGAUCCAGGACACCUCCCGCCCGCCACUGGAGUACGUGAAGGGGGUCCCGCUCAUCAAGUACUUUGCAGAGGCGCUGGGGCCCCUGCAAAGCUUCCAGGCCCGGCCUGAUGACCUGCUCAUCAGCACCUACCCCAAGUCUGGCACCACCUGGGUGAGCCAGAUACUGGACAUGAUCUACCAGGGCGGCGAUCUAGAGAAGUGUAACCGGGCUCCCAUCUACAUGCGGGUGCCCUUCCUUGAGGUCAAUGAUCCAGGGGAACCCUCAGGGAUGGAGACUCUGAAAGACACACCGCCCCCACGGCUCAUCAAGUCACACCUGCCCCUGGCUCUGCUCCCUCAGACUCUGUUGGAUCAGAAGGUCAAGGUGGUCUAUGUUGCCCGAAACCCAAAGGACGUGGCGGUCUCCUACUACCAUUUCCACCGUAUGGAAAAGGCGCACCCUGAGCCUGGGACCUGGGACAGCUUCCUGGAAAAGUUCAUGGCUGGAGAAGUGUCCUACGGGUCCUGGUACCAGCACGUGCAGGAGUGGUGGGAGCUGAGCCGCACCCACCCUGUUCUCUACCUCUUCUAUGAAGACAUGAAGGAGAACCCCAAAAGGGAGAUUCAAAAGAUCCUGGAGUUUGUGGGGCGCUCCCUGCCAGAGGAGACCGUGGACUUCAUGGUUCAGCACACGUCGUUCAAGGAGAUGAAGAAGAACCCUAUGACCAACUACACCACCGUCCCCCAGGAGCUCAUGGACCACAGCAUCUCCCCCUUCAUGAGGAAAGGCAUGGCUGGGGACUGGAAGACCACCUUCACCGUGGCGCAGAAUGAGCGCUUCGAUGCGGACUAUGCGGAGAAGAUGGCAGGCUGCAGCCUCAGCUUCCGCUCUGAGCUGUGAGAGGGGCUCCUGGAGUCACUGCAGAGGGAGUGUGCGAAUCUACCCUGACCAAUGGGCUCAAGAAUAAAGUAUGAUUUUUGAGUCAGGCACAGUGGCUCAUGUCUGCAAUCCCAGCGAUUUGGGAGGUUGAGCUGGUAGGAUCACAAUAGGCCACGAAUUUGAGACCAGCCUGGUAAAAUAGUGAGACCUCAUCUCUACAAAGAUGUAAAAAAAUUAGCCACAUGUGCUGGCACUUACCUGUAGUCCCAGCUACUUGGGAAGCAGAGGCUGGAGGAUCAUUUCAGCCCAGGAGGUUGUGGAUACAGUGAGUUAUGACAUGCCCAUUCACUACAGCCUGGAUGACAAGCAAGACCCUCCCUCCAAAGAAAAUAAAGCUCAAUUAAAAUAAAA
Molecule: small RNA, 2227 nt
Filed under: Pan troglodytes (chimpanzee)
Lineage: Eukaryota; Metazoa; Chordata; Mammalia; Primates; Hominidae
Description: retained intron
Source: RNAcentral